This 457-nucleotide ribosomal RNA is filed under the name uncultured bacterium. Its description in RNAcentral is "bacterial SSU rRNA". It matches the Rfam family "Bacterial small subunit ribosomal RNA", at positions 977 to 1434 of the family's 1533-position model. The record is from RNAcentral.
GAGCUUGACAUCCCACGAACCUGUGGAAACACGGGAGUGCCUUCGGGAGCGGAGAGACAGGUGGUGCAUGGUUGUCGUCAGCUCGUGUCGUGAGAUGUUGGGUUAAGUCCCGCAACGAGCGCAACCCUUAUGAUCAGUUACCAGCGGGUGAAGCCGGGGACUCUGGUCAGACUGCCGGUGACAAACCGGAGGAAGGUGGGGAUGACGUCAAGUCAGCAUGGCCUUGAUGUCUGGGGCCACACACGUGCUACAAUGGCCGGUACAAACCGUGGCGAGCCCGCGAGGGGGAGCUAAUCGGAAAAAGCCGGUCUCAGUUCGGAUCGCAGGCUGCAACUCGCCUGCGUGAAGGUGGAAUCGCUAGUAAUCGCAGAUCAGCACGCUGCGGUGAAUACGUUCCCGGGCCUUGUACACACCGCCCGUCACAUCACGAAAGCUGGCUGUACUCGAAGUCGCUGAG